GCUGGGCAUGGUGGCACAUGCCUGUAAUCCCAGCUACUCGGAAGCUGAGGCAGGAGAAUCGUUUGAACCUGGGAGGCGGAGGUUGCAGUGAGCAGAGAUCGCACCACUGCACUCCAGCCUGGGCAACAGAGCGAGACUCUGUCUCAA
This 147-nucleotide small RNA is filed under the name Pongo abelii (Sumatran orangutan). RNAcentral describes it as "Metazoan signal recognition particle RNA (ENSPPYG00000033873.1)". Lineage: Eukaryota; Metazoa; Chordata; Mammalia; Primates; Hominidae. The record is from Rfam by way of RNAcentral.